CCUACGGGGGACAGCAGUGGGGAAUAUUGCGCAAUGGGCGAAAGCCUGACGCAGUGACGCCGCGUGAGGGAUGAAGGUCUUCGGAUCGUAAACCUCUGUCAGCAGGGAAGAACGGUCACUGUGCUAAUCAGCAGUGAAUUGACGGUACCUGCAAAGGAAGCACCGGCUAACUCCGUGCCCGCAGCCGCGGUAAUACGGAGGGUGCGAGCGUUAAUCGGGAUUAAUGGGCGUAAAGCGCUCGGUGGCGGUAUGUCAAGUCAAGGGUGAAAUCCCCGGGCUCAACGUGGGAGCUGCCUUUGAAACUGGCAAACUGGAGUGUGUGAGAGGAUAGUGGAAUUCCAGGUGUAGGAGUGAAAUCCGUAGAUAUCUGGAGGAACAUCAGUGGCGAAGGCGACUAUCUGGCACAUAACUGACGCUGAGGAGCGAAAGCGUGGGUAGCAAACAGGAUUAGAUACCCCUGUAGUC
This 465-nucleotide ribosomal RNA is filed under the name uncultured bacterium. RNAcentral describes it as "partial 16S ribosomal RNA". It matches the Rfam family "Bacterial small subunit ribosomal RNA", at positions 338 to 795 of the family's 1533-position model. The record is from RNAcentral.